RNAcentral lists this ribosomal RNA (277 nucleotides) under uncultured prokaryote. RNAcentral describes it as "partial 16S ribosomal RNA". It matches the Rfam family "Bacterial small subunit ribosomal RNA", at positions 26 to 297 of the family's 1533-position model. The record is from RNAcentral.
AGAUUGAACGCUGGCGGCAUGCCUAACACAUGCAGGUCGAGCGGCAGCGCGGGGGCGACCCUGGUGGCGAGUGGCGAACGGGUGAGUAAUGCAUCGGAACGUAUCCUUGAGUGGGGGAUAACGCAGCGAAAGUUGUGCUAAUACCGCAUAAGCUCUGAGGAGGAAAGCGGGGGACCGAAAGGCCUCGCGCAGACGAGGAGUCGAGCCGACUGUUCCGAUUAGUUAGGUUGGNGGGGUAAAAGGCCUACCAAGGCUACGAUCGGUAGCUGGUCUGAGA